GACAGAGGUGGCGACCGUUGUUCGGAAUCACUGGGCAUAAAGCGCGUGUAGGCGGUGAGAUAAGUCGGGUGUGAAAUCCCUCGGCCUAACCGAGGAAUUGCGCUCGAAACUAUCUUGCUUGAGGAUCAGAGGGGAGCCUGGAAUUCCUGGUGGAGCGGUGAAAUGCGUUGAUAUCAGGAGGAACACCGGCGGCGAAGGCGAGGCUCUGGCUGAUUUCUGACGCUGAGACGCGAAAGCUAGGGGAGCAAAC
Molecule: ribosomal RNA, 250 nt
Filed under: uncultured bacterium
Lineage: Bacteria
Description: partial 16S ribosomal RNA
Rfam family: Bacterial small subunit ribosomal RNA
Source: RNAcentral